CCAGGUGUACUCUCACCUGAGUCUAAGUGAACAUGCCAGACGGGUAACUGUCUGGUAUGAAGCUUCACUGACAACAUUUUUAACGGG
Non-coding RNA from Diplodia seriata, 87 nucleotides. The record is from Rfam. Lineage: Eukaryota; Fungi; Ascomycota; Dothideomycetes; Botryosphaeriales; Botryosphaeriaceae.